UUAUUAGGAUUAUUUUAAUUAAAAAUGUUUUUGUCGUAUUUGGAAACAUAUGUACCUAAGUCAGUCAGUUUUGCAUUAAAUAUAAUUUGAUGAUAUUGAAUUUAUGGUAAAAUUAUGGAAAUAAGUAGUUACCUUUACUAAAUGAUUUUAUUUUUUUAAAUAAUUUAUGAAAUUUAAUUCGGGCAAAAGAGGUAACAUUAUUAGCGUGCACAAGGGCAUGGGCCGGCCUCUGCUAUGACCAAGUCUCCGCAAAGAGCGAUGGCCUCGAUCUCCACAGCUGCUCCCAACGGUAGUCGACUGACUUCGUAUGUCAUUCGAGCAGGGCAAGCUUUAGGAAAAUCUGUGAAGGAAAUUAACUGUUUUAUUUGGCAUCCGGUUUCACAGAUAUGUUCGUUAGCUUUCGGUUCGUUUUGCCAGGUUGAAACAAUUCUUUUCUCCAAGCGUCUGUCUGAAUUGAGAUAAAGUUUAUUAUACGCCACAAUUUUAACCAUACAUAAUUUUUUUAUUGUCAUAAUUGCGGUAUGACCAAAAAUGUUUUCAAAAAUGUGUUCAUUUUGGUCGCUGCUUUAUUAGUUUCAGAAACUAAGAUAAUUAAGUAUAUAUCAAGAAUUAAAAGAAGCUAAUAAUAAUUAAUAGUAUUGAACAGAAUCAUAAUAGAUUCUGUUUAUUACUAUUUGAUGUUACAUAUAUUUGAUAUAUUUUAUGUUGAUUCAUGAUUGAUAUUAUUUCUUACAUUUAUUAGAUACCGUGAUAAAAAAAAUCGUGAACCCUCUCUAAUGCACUUUUCGAUCAAUUUUAUCAGUUGAUGAGAAUAGAACCUUUCGAUUUUAUCUGUUUAUAAAAUCUCUUUUUCCCAGUUUAGAUCUCAAAUUGCAUAAUUUCAGUGAAAUCAAGACCAAACUAAAAUUACAGAAUUUUCUUUUAAAAAAAAAUCCUACUGCCACAAAUAUUUUGCGGUUUUUUUAUUAUGUUUAUGACGACGAACGAACUUAAAGUCUAUUUGGUAGCGUAUAAAAAUUAUUUUCCAUUGGGAUUCCCAGUUUUUUUUUUCAUAAGUGCCAUUUGAGCAACACUAAACAAACUUGCUAUUUUUAAUAUACAUACCUAAGUUAGUACAAUCGUCAUCACUCUAAUGAGUAUAUGUAAAUUAAGUAGGUGAUUCAUGUUAAACGGUUUUUCAGGAGUUUGCAAAUUACUUAAGUAAGUAUGUACUAACAUUCUGCAUAGACUUUGUUGAAAGUUUGGAAGUCGUCCAUGCUAGCCAACAAAACAGUAGUUUUCACGACCGACUCCAACGAAGCGCCACCAGCUUCAAGUACAUGUCGCAGAUUGUCCAGAGCCUGACGGGUCUGCGCUUCAGCACCACCGCAGACCAUCUGUGCAUCUCGAUCCAAUCCGAGAAUUCCAGAAAUGUAUAAGGUCUUGUCCGCUAAAAUUGCUUGACUAAAAUUAAAUAGACGAUACAAUACAACAUCCUUUAACCCAUAAUCCAAGUUUAGGUAUCAUUUUUAAAAUUAUUGGCGUAGAAAACAUAACACAAUAAGUAUUGAUUAACAUUAUUAAUGUACUUCCCGAUUUCUCGGAGGUUGAAAUUCAAACUGAGGAACUUUGUGUAUUACCUAUUGUAUAAACACGUCAUUACGGAUCCUCCCGAUCCAUUAACGGUGCUUUUAGGUAGCUACCUCAAGCACCGAUCACCGUCCUCGCCGAACCCGUCGCUUGCGACGAAGGGCUCGACGAGUAUAUCAAUACCAAUAGACACAGCCCACCGAGUUUCUCGCCGGAUCUUCUCAGUGGGUAACAAAUGUAAUUUUUGGCUAAAGUUCACACAAAUCAAUAAUAUUUUUAGUAAACUAACCUGUACGGACCUACUGGUUGAUAUAUUUCCGGAGAUGUUAUUAUUGUUUUUGUUACUUUAUUGUUAUUCGAAUUUUUUGCUGAACUCAUUUUGGGCGAAACUUUGUCUUCGGACGCCAGUGCAGAAUCUUCUGAGCUCAUUUUUAUUCUUUAGAUGUAAAUAGGUCAAUAGUUCAAAUGACAAAAAGAUAACA
Molecule: long non-coding RNA, 2051 nt
Organism: Bombyx mori (domestic silkworm)
Lineage: Eukaryota; Metazoa; Arthropoda; Insecta; Lepidoptera; Bombycidae
Exons: 2
Source: RefSeq, a predicted model, not a curated record